ACGAACGCUGGCGGCGUGCCUAAUACAUGCAAGUUGCGCGAUGAAGAUUGGUGCUUGCACCAAUUUGAAGAGCAGCGAACGGGUGAGUAACGCGUGGGGAAUCUGCCUUUGAGCGGGGGACAACAUUUGGAAACGAAUGCUAAUACCGCAUAACAACUUUAAACAUCAGUUUUAAGUUUGAAAGAUGCAAUUGCAUCACUCAAAGAUGAUCCCGCGUUGUAUUAGCUAGUUGGUGAGGUAAAGGCUCACCAAGGCGAUGAUACAUAGCCGACCUGAGAGGGUGAUCGGCCACAUUGGGACUGAGACACGGCCCAAACUCCUACGGGAGGCAGCAGUAGGGAAUCUUCGGCAAUGGACGAAAGUCUGACCGAGCAACGCCGCGUGAGUGAAGAAGGUUUUCGGAUCGUAAAACUCUGUUGGUAGAGAAGAACGUUGGUGAGAGUGGAAAGCUCAUCAAGUGACGGUAACUACCCAGAAAGGGACGGCUAACUACGUG
Molecule: ribosomal RNA, 496 nt
Filed under: uncultured bacterium
Lineage: Bacteria
Description: partial 16S ribosomal RNA
Rfam family: Bacterial small subunit ribosomal RNA
Source: RNAcentral